This 492-nucleotide ribosomal RNA is filed under the name uncultured bacterium. RNAcentral describes it as "partial 16S ribosomal RNA". It matches the Rfam family "Bacterial small subunit ribosomal RNA", at positions 29 to 507 of the family's 1533-position model. The record is from RNAcentral.
AGUGAACGCUGGCGGUAGGCCUAACACAUGCAAGUCGAACGGCAGCACAGUAAGAGCUUGCUCUUACGGGUGGCGAGUGGCGGACGGGUGAGGAAUACAUCGGAAUCUACUUUUUCGUGGGGGAUAACGUAGGGAAACUUACGCUAAUACCGCAUACGACCUACGGGUGAAAGCAGGGGAUCUUCGGACCUUGCGCGAUUGAAUGAGCCGAUGUCGGAUUAGCUAGUUGGCGGGGUAAAGGCCCACCAAGGCGACGAUCCGUAGCUGGUCUGAGAGGGUGAUCAGCCACACUGGAACUGAGACACGGUCCAGACUCCUACGGGAGGCAGCAGUGGGGAAUAUUGGACAAUGGGCGCAAGCCUGAUCCAGCCAUACCGCGUGGGUGAAGAAGGCCUUCGGGUUGUAAAGCCCUUUUGUUGGGAAAGAAAAGCAGCAGGUUAAUACCCCGCUGUUCCGACGGUACCCAAAGAAUAAGCACCGGCUAACUUCGUG